Molecule: unclassified non-coding RNA, 362 nt
Filed under: uncultured Gammaproteobacteria bacterium
Lineage: Bacteria; Pseudomonadati; Pseudomonadota; Gammaproteobacteria
Description: contains 16S-23S intergenic spacer region
Source: RNAcentral
UCCCGGUUGGCCCGGGCAGUCUUGCCUGAAAUUGCAACAGACAGUAAGGGUUGCGCUCGUUGCGGGACUUAACCCAACAUCUCACGACACGAGCUGACGACGGCCAUGCAACACCUGUCACUAGGUUCCCGGAGGCACUCCCGACUUUCGCCAGGAUUCCUAGGAUGUCAAGCCUUGGUAAGGUUCUUCGCGUACCAUCGAAUUAAACCACAUGCUCCACCGCUUGUGCGGGCCCCCGUCAAUUCAUUUGAGUUUUAACCUUGCGGCCGUACUCCCCAGGCGGUCAACUUAAUGCGUUAGCUGCGCCACUAAGAGCUCAAGGCUCCCAACGGCUAGUUGACAUCGUUUACGGCGUGGACUAC